RNAcentral lists this ribosomal RNA (2945 nucleotides) under Drosophila melanogaster (fruit fly). Its description in RNAcentral is "eukaryotic LSU rRNA". The stretch from base 1774 to 2945 matches the Rfam family "Eukaryotic large subunit ribosomal RNA", at positions 1891 to 3320 of the family's 3401-position model. The record is from RNAcentral. Lineage: Eukaryota; Metazoa; Arthropoda; Insecta; Diptera; Drosophilidae.
CUUUUUUCUCCGGCCGAAGAGCAGUGAUCCGAAGCAGUUCCGGUACUGUGGAGGUACCGGUAACUAGAGGCUGCCCGCAGGGAUCAAUCAGCGGCCCAUUUAUCUGGGACAUACUGAUGGAUGUACUGCUUCAGCGUCUCCAGCCGUAUUGCCAGCUGAGUGCAUACGCGGAUGACUUGCUGCUUCUCGUCGAGGGAAAUUCCCGAGCUGUGCUAGAGGAAAAAGGAGCGCAACUAAUGUCCAUCGUAGAAACGUGGGGAGCGGAAGUUGGCGUUGCCGUCUCGACCAGCAAGACGGUAAUCAUGCUGCUGAAAGGUGCCUUGAGACGUGCGCCUACGGUGAGGUUUGCUGGAGCGAACCUUCCGUAUGUGCGUAGCUGUCGGUACCUUGGCAUCACGGUCAGUGAAGGAAUGAAAUUCCUCACGCACAUAGCUUCGCUUCGCCAGCGGAUGACAGGAGUCGUUGGAGCAUUGGCGCGUGUGCUUCGAGCCGACUGGGGCUUCAGUCCUCGAGCCAGGCGGACCAUAUAUGACGGACUCAUGGCACCUUGUGUGCUGUUUGGUGCCCCGGUAUGGUAUGACACCGCGGAACAAGUAGCUGCCCAGAGGCGACUAGCCUCCUGCCAGAGGCUAAUCCUGCUUGGAUGCCUUUCGGUAUGCCGAACAGUGUCCACAGUGGCACUGCAGGUACUUGGUGGAGCUCCCCCGCUUGAUCUGGCUGCUAAGUUAUUAGCGAUUAAAUACAAGCUAAAACGUGGAUUCCCGCUGGAGGAGAACGACUGGCUUUACGGCGAGGACAUUGCGUGUCUUAGCUGGGAGCAGAGGAAGACUCGCCUAGAGGAGUGUUUUAAUCCAGAGUUGGCAGAACAGAUGGGACGACGACAGCGAACCAGGACGGGUGACGCAUAGGUUUAUCCCAUACGUCACUCUUGCCUAUCGGGAUCCAAGUUUUGGAUUCUCGAUGAGGACGUCUUUCCUGCUUACAGGGCACGGGUCGUUCAAUGCAUUUUUGCACGGGAGAGCCCUCAGCGAUACCACUGCUUGCGCAUGUGGAGAUCCAUAUGAGGACUGGAUGCAUAUCUUGUGCGCUUGCCCCCUAUAUGCAGAUCUGCGGGACCUAGAUGGACUUGGAGUGCAGCGCCUUGGCGAAAACUGGAUCUUCGAGGGAAUCCUGGAUGAUCAAGAGAAGACUCAACGGCUGGCAAUGUUUGCGGAAGAAGUGUUCCUGAGGAGGAGGGGCGUUUAGCUCAACAUCUCUGCCGUGUGGUUAGCGGGCGAGAAUACUACCACAGUCCGCUGUUGCUUGUCGUAAGAGACGACUAAUACAGCGAUAGGAUUCCUCUAACCCUGCUUGUCGGAGCAAAAGGGGGAGGCCCACCGAGCCUCUUUUCGGUACCACGGGUUGAGCAGCUAUCCAAGACUGCUCAUUGAGGUAGGCCCCCUGGUGGGAGUAUCGUGGUGGCUGUGGUUGGUACCCAUAUCGCGGGUAGAGCCUUCAUGCUCGACGUUUGAGUUACGGUGCUAGUUGCGCAAAACUCGGGUGCUGUGACCCAGAGAUCAGUAGAGAUUUUAGGUAGAUCUCGCUCCUCAGCAAGGGGGAGUGCUUGCCCGGCAAGCAAGUACUCGAAUUGCUACCGGGGUGGUCGCUAUGUACAUAGCUAUAGCUUCUAGUCCGGGACGCUUGUCUGGCGUAUCCAGACACAUGCACCAUAUGCUCACUUGUGGGCGUAUAGGGUGCCGUGGUUGUAAUCCCUUCAGUGUGGAACACGCCACGUAAAAUAAGUUCGGAGGGAUCCGAAAAGCAUACAUUGUCCCUAUCUACUAUCUAGCGAAACCACAGCCAAGGGAACGGGCUUGGAAUAAUUAGCGGGGAAAGAAGACCCUUUUGAGCUUGACUCUAAUCUGGCAGUGUAAGGAGACAUAAGAGGUGUAGAAUAAGUGGGAGAUAUUAGACCUCGGUUUGGUAUCGUCAAUGAAAUACCACUACUCUUAUUGUUUCCUUACUUACUUGAUUAAAUGGAACGUGUAUCAUUUCCUAGCCAUUAUACGGAUAUAUUUAUUAUAUCUUAUGGUAUUGGGUUUUGAUGCAAGCUUCUUGAUCAAAGUAUCACGAGUUUGUUAUAUAAUCGCAAACAAAUUCUUUAAUAAAACGAUGCAUUUAUGUAUUUUUGAUUUGAAAAUUUGGUAUAACUCCAAUUACUCAGGUAUGAUCCAAUUCAAGGACAUUGCCAGGUAGGGAGUUUGACUGGGGCGGUACAUCUCUCAAAUAAUAACGGAGGUGUCCCAAGGCCAGCUCAGUGCGGACAGAAACCACACAUAGAGCAAAAGGGCAAAUGCUGACUUGAUCUCGGUGUUCAGUACACACAGGGACAGCAAAAGCUCGGCCUAUCGAUCCUUUUGGUUUAAAGAGUUUUUAACAAGAGGUGUCAGAAAAGUUACCAUAGGGAUAACUGGCUUGUGGCGGCCAAGCGUUCAUAGCGACGUCGCUUUUUGAUCCUUCGAUGUCGGCUCUUCCUAUCAUUGUGAAGCAAAAUUCACCAAGCGUUGGAUUGUUCACCCAUGCAAGGGAACGUGAGCUGGGUUUAGACCGGUCGUGAGACAGGUUAGUUUUACCCUACUAAUGACAAAACGUUGUUGCGACAGCAUUCCUGCGUAGUACGAGAGGAACCGCAGGUACGGACCAAUGGCACAAUACUUGUUCGAGCGAACAGUGGUAUGACGCUACGUCCGUUGGAUUAUGCCUGAACGCCUCUAAGGUCGUAUCCGUGCUGGACUGCAAUGAUAAAUAAGGGGCAAUUUGCAUUGUAUGGCUUCUAAACCAUUUAAAGUUUAUAAUUUACUUUAUAAACGACAAUGGAUGUGAUGCCAAUGUAAUUUGUAACAUAGUAAAUUGGGAGGAUCUUCGAUCACCUGAUGCCGCGCUAGUUACAUAUAAAAGCAUUAUUU